This 36-nucleotide ribosomal RNA is filed under the name Drosophila virilis. RNAcentral describes it as "partial 28S ribosomal RNA". The record is from RNAcentral. Lineage: Eukaryota; Metazoa; Arthropoda; Insecta; Diptera; Drosophilidae.
UAGUGACGCGCAUGAAUGGAUUAACGAGAUUCCUAC